This 296-nucleotide long non-coding RNA is filed under the name Elaeis guineensis (African oil palm). Its description in RNAcentral is "long non-coding RNA (EGUI_LNC033270)". The record is from RNAcentral. Lineage: Eukaryota; Viridiplantae; Streptophyta; Magnoliopsida; Arecales; Arecaceae.
UUGCGAUCCUUUUAUACAUAAUCUCAAUAUUUAAUCAAAAUUUUUAAAUAUUUCUCCCACUACAAUCAUCAAAGAUCUACACUAUAAUGUCCCUAGUAUCUAUCCACUUACACCCAUUCUAUAUCUGAUUCUAUGUUUCAUAAUUCAUCCACUUAUGCUCUGAUACCACUUAAUUGUCACGCCCCCGACCCGAGAUUGUGAAUCGAGGGUCAUGGCAACCGCCGCAUACUCAUAGAAAACUCUUCCCAUAAGCAUGCAAGGCAUCUUAUCAUACUAUCCUAAAACAACAGCGAAAU